RNAcentral lists this unclassified non-coding RNA (2825 nucleotides) under Melitaea cinxia (Glanville fritillary). RNAcentral's name for it is "misc RNA ENSMCXG00005005167.1". The record is from RNAcentral. Lineage: Eukaryota; Metazoa; Arthropoda; Insecta; Lepidoptera; Nymphalidae.
UACGCACGUAAGAAGUUAUACUCCAUUGGCUAGCUAACUUCACGUUGCUAACUUCUUCUUCGUUGACUAGCUAACUUCAGGGUGUCGGUUUUUUGUGACGGUGUGUGGGCGGAACUUAAAAAUGUACUCUCAUUAUUUUUCCAUAACGCGCCAACUGAAGUAUAACUUCAAAAAGAUGGUAGAAACCGCUUGGUAGGGUAACAUGUUAAUAAUAAUUAAAACAAGUUUUAAUAAAAGAAAAUAGUAAUAUUUUAUUAAAAUAUUAUUACACAUAUCUUUACAAACUCUAAAACUAUCAUCACGUUUAUGAUGAAACAAAACAUCAUACUUUGAUUGACUUAGAAGAAAUUAGUACGAAGAAAUUAAAUGUUGAAAAUUUAUUUCUUAGACAUUUUAUAUAGUUUUCUUAGAUAAAAUGACAAAAAUUUGGAAAAUAACAAUAUAUUAUAUAUAAUGAAACAAUUUUUCCGGAUUUUAUCGCGGUUUAUUAAGUUUUUUAGACACCCGUGACCAUGGUUGCUGUAAAGUAUCCGAAACGUCGGGUUUCUCGUAACGCCAUCUAUCGUAAAGACUAAAGGCGACGUUUUCUAAUAACGCCAUCGCGUCGCAACGUAUCAUCGAUAGAUGGCGUUAUUUGAAUUCCCAUUUGAUGUGGUAUUAAUAUUUUUCUUAGACUAGUAAGCCUUUUGUUUCUAUUUAGUCAGUCGAUCUGAAGGAGUGAACUCCACUCCAGUAAAUAUAAGUUAAAUGAAUACAAUUUGAAUUUGUAAAAUGAUGAGUCAGAAGCGUUUUUGAAGUUUCUUGAAUAAAGUUGAUUUGAUUUUGAGUUUUGUUCAGAAAAUUUCUAAGAGAAAUUUCUGUUAAUAUGAGAAGAUCUAUAAUUACACUUGAGUUACAGUUUUAAUACUUAAUUACAAAAAUUAAAUUAUAUUUUGUGAUGUUUAUUUGUGACAAAUGAACAGUUUUUUUACAGCGUAAUAAGAGUUUAUUAAAAAUAAAUAUGACAAUACAAUGACAGUUAUAUUGGCGGGAAUAUAAAUGACAGUUUUAUUUUUAAAAUUUUCAUAUGAUAAAAAUGACAGAUUAUAAUUGAUUAGUUGAAAUGAGUUUGCUUAGAUAAUAAACACAAAUUUAUUACUAAGUGAGAAAAAAUAAACGCAUUUUUUUUAAUGUUGUGUUUUCUGUUAACAGUAUAAUAUACAUUUUAAGGCACUGUAUUUUUUUUUUUUGAGUUUAUAUUAAACAAUUAUUGUUACAUAUUAUGACAUUUAUAAAGUUAAAUUUAUUUAAAAAAAAUAUUAUCAUUCAUAAGAUCUUACUUCAUUAUACUUAUCACAGCGUACUUAUAAAACAGAAUGUUAUAAAAAAUCUCUCUCCAAAUCUAAUAUAAGAACACAAAUUCAUCAAAAACUUAUUUUUAAUAUCACAUUCACUCAAAACGCUCGCACUUGACUAAAAAAAAAAUCUUUAGCAAAGGUUGAUUCUCUUAAACCCGGUAUCUUUAUUUCGAAAACGAACACGACUGUCGAACGGAUCGUAAGUAAUAAAACUAAGCGUUUUCUGAAUAUAGCAACCUUUCCAGCUAUACCCCAGCAAUAUCGAGAUAUAAACUACAUAGUGACAGAAUUAGGAAUUAUUCGUUCUGCAAUGUGCUAACAUUUCGGUAUGGAUGACAAGACUAAGAUUAAUAGUAAGAGAAUCUUAUUACUGUCGAUUCAAUUUUUUAAAAACGAAGUUUAAAUCUUCAAUAUUUAUAAUAAAAAUAAUUUCAUAAAACCACAAUGUAACACAUAGCACUGCCUUUAUUCAUCAAUCAUCCAUCCCAUUCAUUCAUUCGUUCAAUCGUACAUAACUGUCAGUAGAGUAACUGGUCGUACCCCAGUUAUUCAUAAUCCAUACCGUCUUGUGACCUGAAUUUUAUUCCGUACUACAAUUAGACAUCUUAUUUAAUUUAUUGUUUCUGAAUUAAUUGUGAUUUUUUAGUAUUUUGUUCCAUCAUACAAUUAUAUAUUUCAUUCACUCAUUCAUUCACACCUUUAUAGAAACCAGAUCAUAACAAAGUUGUCAAUUUUACCUUUACUUCUUUGUAUGAACGAGAAUAGCAUUAAUUAUUUUUCUUAGUAUAUUCAUAGAAUUCAUUCACACAUUUACAGAAGCCAAUCACAUCGAAGUCACGUGUACUUUGUAUGACCCGAAUUCAUUUUAAUUGUAUACCUUAUUAAAAUUAUAGAUCACAUUCAUUCAUUUGACACCUUAAAAAAACCGGUCAUAUCAAAGUACGUAGCAUACCUGUUAUAUGACCUGAAUUUCAUUCACUCACUCAUUCACACCUUUUGAAAAACCGGUUAUAUCAAAGUAGCUAGCAUGUGUACUUGACCCGAGUUCCAUUUAAUUUUGUUCAAUUACAAUAAACGAAAGAUCGAACGAAAUCAUUCACUCGCGCCACCUAUCGACGUGUAAAUCAGUCAUAUCUAGACUUUCAUCCGACCUAUCUUCCGUUUGUUCAUAGGCAAGCGACCCCUGAUCUUCCUCAAGGGCUUUUUGUAGGAUAGCCUCAAGUUUUGGUUGUACGUCGCCCAAUAGGGCUCGCUGUGAGGGCUCUGUGGCCCAGCAAGACUCCAUAACCUCCCAGCAUUCGUCGGAGAAGUGGGGAAGACGCUCGGGGCGAAGGCCUGAAAAGUAUAUUUAUUGAUUAAUUCAUCCUGUAACAUCCCAAAGCUGGGCAUGGACCUCUUUCUCCGUGGUGAAGGGUUAGAGCUUAAUCCACUAAUCUCAAAAAUACAGUACCUCGUUUUACUUUGCUCCACAGUUGUUCUUUAUUCUGG